Ostrea edulis (European flat oyster) is the source of this 237-nucleotide long non-coding RNA. RefSeq lists it as uncharacterized. The record is from RefSeq and is a predicted model, not a curated record. The transcript has 2 exons. Lineage: Eukaryota; Metazoa; Mollusca; Bivalvia; Ostreida; Ostreidae.
UAUUUUUACGUACGAAUUACUCAGAAGUAGAACUUUUCAUGAGUUACUGCCCUUGUCUUAAACUCUCCAGUUAGUACAAUCAGAUUUGUCAGUCGACAUAGAUGCUCAGAGACAGAAGUCUCCACGCGCACUACAUACGGCAAAGAUGCCACCACACCUUGUACAGAGUACAACCCCUUAUCGUAUCCUGUAGUCCCACAGUCUUUUUACUAUUAAUUGAAUAAACUGACGUACAGG